This is a long non-coding RNA of Onychostoma macrolepis, 2967 nucleotides long. RefSeq lists it as uncharacterized. NCBI's taxonomy places the organism in Eukaryota, Metazoa, Chordata, Actinopteri, Cypriniformes, Cyprinidae. The record is from RefSeq and is a predicted model, not a curated record. The transcript has 3 exons.
GGAUCUCUCCAGAGAGACCAAUCCACUUCGAGUGUAACUAAACGAGCCAAUGGACAUUGGCAUGCGAUCACUGCAUCCAGCUGCCGCCGAUCACAGCGUGAGUAUAAGAGGCAGCAGGUGCACCGCAUUAACUCACGCGACUGUGGCGACGGGACGUGACGUCUCCGUUCCCUCCUUCAGGGAACGAGGGUUACAUACGUAACCGAGACGUUCCCUUUCAGUUGGUCACUCCGAGUCACGUCGGAUGACAGACGAAUUAGGAUCCCUACCAAAGCGCCACAGGAGCUGCCCCUUCCAGUGCCCUGUGUAGGCCUCCUGAUCCUUCCUAUAAGGCAGAUGAUAGGACCGGGCUCUACACAGAGAGGGUCAACUACUGUUGUUCCUUGGGCAACCCAGACAGUAGGACUUGGAUAACACUGGGAAGCGUGCCCUUCCGUUUGGAAGAGGCACACUGCGGAGUCACCUCCUCCCAGAGGGGGUUAAGUGGCAUUUAGACAUGUGAAGUAACCCCGUAGGGCCCUAUUGCACAUGGAAGUCUCUGAGAUGGCUUAGGCUGCAUCAUUAGAGAUGGCAGGACGUGGUCUGCCAGGGGAAACACGGCUCUAAUAAGCAUACCGUGGAAUACACAUAUGGGAUCCCGGCAGGGUCUCUCAUGUGGGAACUAGCCUCACAUCAGAUUUCAAGAAUUCAUUGGCUGAAAGGCCUGGCGCCGGACACUCCGCCACGUCCGGACGCCGGAGUGCUGGAGGACUCGACAGGGUUUGCCUGGUUAAGGAACUCUCUGGAGAAUUAGGCGUAAGAACGCCGCAAGCCGACUCUGAGCCGGGCCUCUCAGUGCCACUACCUGUUUGAGGUGAGAACACAGGAGGAAACCGGUUCGACACGUAGGUUAUAAAACCUAGCGAACGUGUUAGGAGUCGCCCAACCCGCAGCUCUACAGAUGUCUGCUAGUGAGAAAAGAAAAUAAACUGCUGCUGCUGUUUCCCUGAUCAAUAUAUGAUCCAGAUUUUUAAUAACAUUAGUUUGAUGCAUUUAAGUGAUGAAUAUAAUUGUCUGGGCUGGUCAUGUAUUAUUAAUUAUAUACAUAACAUUAUUAAUUUAGAAGGAGCACCAGCUACAUCUGAACAUGCAUGUAUAUGCUUUAUCAGCUGUGCUGGGUUUGUAAAUGUGAGUGUGUAAGGCAGUAAAUGUAAUAAAAGAUACAAAAGCUAUAUGCAGAUAAUGCCAAAAAACAAAAAAAAACAAAAUACAAAUCUGUGGAAGGCUUUAUUGUUCAGCAAAGUCUGAACAUUAAUUAUGUGUCAGCAGCCUGUUUAAUUAAUCAUUAAUUUUGAUGACAUUCUUUACCAUUUAACAGAGUCUACAUCUAAUUAGACAGAAAUUCUCUUUCACUUUACUUGAACCAUUUUUACUAUAAUGACUGUCUACUGUUGUCCUCUUUUUAGAGCUGCUUCACAGCAGAACUGAAUUCUGUUUGCAUCACUGAAACACCAUUGUCUUGUUUAUCACUGUAAAGCUGCUCUGAAACAAUCUGUAUUGUACAAAGUGCUAUAGUAUAGAGUAAAUAGUAUAUAGAAAUACAGGUAAAAAAAUAAAAAAUAAAUAAAAAACAAUCAUAAAAUAAGAACAGAUCAUUUCACAUAUAUAAUUCAGGAAAUGAAGCAAAUUAAACUGUUCUGGCUGUGGCUAUAUAGUUCAAUUGCUAUUAAAGUGCCUUGAACAAACUCUGAUUAUCUUUCAUAGAUUUGAUGUCAUUAACUUAACAAACUUUACAGCACCCUAAUCCAGUGAUUAUUUCUUCUUCAAAAGCACUUGAUGAUGGUUUUCUCAGAAGGGCUAAUAAAAACACCUGUGUGCCCUUACUUACUACCUCAAGAGACUAGAAACUGUGAUCCAGUGUUGUGUGUGAUAUGUGUCAGACAGUGUGAGGAGGAGACCUCAGUUCUCUCACUGCUGUACAUUCAUUGAACACUGUUAGACAUUUCUGUAAUUUCCACAGUUAUUUACUGUAUAUCACCCAGUAUAAUACUGCAAAUUCCCUUUACAGUAAACAACUGUAAUACCCUUUGCAUCAUGGGAAUUUUCUGUGACGUCAGACCCCACAUACAGAGACUUACUGUAUUUUUUUAAAUUGCUGUAUACUACUGUAACGGUCUCUUUGGCGCCAUUAUACUGAGGUCGUUUUAUUUUCCUCAUUUCUUGCAUUUGGAUUGACACAAUUUGCCCUGCACUGUGUCUACAACGCCGCAACAGCUUGGGACUGAAUACUGGAUGUGUUACAUCGCUUCUAAUGAUUGGAAAAUCUGUUUGUACUUCUGUCAGAAACAGCGCGAGCGCUUGGAGUGCAUCUGUACAUCAGAAAUAUACCGGGGCAUCAGUUUACUGUCCGCAUCCACUGUAGAUAAUAUAAUGGGUUCUAUAUUGUUGUCUGUUAUCGAGUCGCGCCGCACCGCGCCACUCGCGUCCGAGGAAGACACGGAAGCAGCGGGGCAGCGCCGCAGGUUUUUUCCGGGGAUGAACCCGCGAGAGUGAAGAGCUCCGGAGAACAUCGAUGCACCUUACGAGAUAAUAAGACCAGCAAGCAAGGCAACUGCAAUGAAGCAUCAAGAAAGACAUGAGCAGGCCAGCCACCCUGAGACUGAUAAUUCAUGAGAAGACAUUUCUGUCAAAGUGGACCGUGAGCAAAGAUGGUGGCCACGUUUUGGAGCAGCACCUGGGUUUUGCUGAUGGUUAUGUAUUCUUUGGCUGUUUGUCUUUUUUCCCCAUUAUGUUUCUGUUGCCUAAAUAUUCUUUGUGAGGAUGAAUCCAGAGGACACAGCAUAAUGCACUGCAAAACGUGCUAAGACAGGAGAAAUGGUGAAGAUGCGCUGUUCCAGCAUUGGAAGUCUGUAUUUUUAAGUGUUAUACAUGCAAUGUUUUAAAUAAAGAAUUUUAUAUUUAGUAAUUAUUGUGUCUGUUUUAAUUGAA